This is a small nuclear RNA of Echinops telfairi (small Madagascar hedgehog), 168 nucleotides long. Its record names the gene U1. It matches the Rfam family "U1 spliceosomal RNA". Rfam says of the family: U1 is a small nuclear RNA (snRNA) component of the spliceosome (involved in pre-mRNA splicing). Its 5' end forms complementary base pairs with the 5' splice junction, thus defining the 5' donor site of an intron. Lineage: Eukaryota; Metazoa; Chordata; Mammalia; Afrosoricida; Tenrecidae. The record is from Ensembl.
AUACUUACCUGGCAGGGGAGAUACCAUGAUCACGAAGGUGGUUUUCCCAGGAUGAGGCUCACCCAUUGCACUCCAGAUGUGCUGACCCCUGCCAUUUCCCUAAAUGUGGGAAACUUGAUUGCAUAAUUUGUGGUAGGUAGUGGGGGACUGCAUUCGCGCUAUCCCCUA